This 327-nucleotide unclassified non-coding RNA is filed under the name Hevea brasiliensis (rubber tree). Lineage: Eukaryota; Viridiplantae; Streptophyta; Magnoliopsida; Malpighiales; Euphorbiaceae. The record is from RNAcentral.
GUUUGCACACCCCUACUUACAGAUAAGUGGGAAGUGAAGGAUCAAAGGUGGAAUUUCUAUUGGGGUAAAUCCAAAGAGAGACAGCAAGGUAGAGAGCGAAGGGAAGAGGGAGAGAUUUAUAGGGGUGGAGGAUGAGGGAAGGAGGGAGGACGAUGCUAAGCAAAAAUUUUGUUCAAUUACACAAUUGAUCCCUUUGAUUAUAUUGUUUAUCUAAAAUUGGACUGAUGAUUCUGAAAAUUAAUUUGGUUUUACUUAUGGUAUAAUUUUGCAGGGCUGAAAUUGUGAGGACUUAUGGUUUUACCUUUUUCUCUUGGAGGAGAAAGUUGG